This 23-nucleotide non-coding RNA is filed under the name Arabidopsis thaliana (thale cress). Lineage: Eukaryota; Viridiplantae; Streptophyta; Magnoliopsida; Brassicales; Brassicaceae. The record is from RNAcentral.
CAAAUAUGUCAAGUGUUGGCCUC